AUAAGUAGACCAUGUCCGGCUUUUACACUAUUAAGCCGAACUACGUCUCCUUAUAC
This 56-nucleotide microRNA precursor is filed under the name Heliconius melpomene (postman butterfly). RNAcentral describes it as "Hme-Mir-252-P1_pre stem-loop". The record is from RNAcentral. Lineage: Eukaryota; Metazoa; Arthropoda; Insecta; Lepidoptera; Nymphalidae.